ACGAACGCUGGCGGCGUGCUUAACACAUGCAAGUCGAACGGAAAGGCCCUGCUUGCAGGGUACUCGAGUGGCGAACGGGUGAGUAACACGUGGGUGAUCUGCCCUGCACUUCGGGAUAAGCCUGGGAAACUGGGUCUAAUACCGGAUAGGAGCCAUUUUUAGUGUGAUGGUUGGAAAGUUUUUUCGGUGUAGGAUGAGCUCGCGGCCUAUCAGCUUGUUGGUGGGGUAAUGGCCUACCAAGGCGGAGACGGGUAGCCGGCCUGAGAGGGUGGACGGCCACAUUGGGACUGAGAUACGGCCCAGACUCCUACGGGAGGCAGCAGUGGGGAAUAUUGCACAAUGGGCGCAAGCCUGAUGCAGCGACGCCGCGUGGGGGAUGACGGCCUUCGGGUUGUAAACUCCUUUCGCUAGGGACGAAGCUUUUUGUGACGGUACCUAGAUAAGAAGCACCGGCUAACUACGUG
RNAcentral lists this ribosomal RNA (464 nucleotides) under uncultured bacterium. RNAcentral's name for it is "partial 16S ribosomal RNA". It matches the Rfam family "Bacterial small subunit ribosomal RNA", at positions 29 to 507 of the family's 1533-position model. The record is from RNAcentral.